This 894-nucleotide ribosomal RNA is filed under the name Vibrio sp. 2-2(9). Its description in RNAcentral is "partial 23S ribosomal RNA". It matches the Rfam family "Bacterial large subunit ribosomal RNA", at positions 586 to 1488 of the family's 2925-position model. Lineage: Bacteria; Pseudomonadati; Pseudomonadota; Gammaproteobacteria; Vibrionales; Vibrionaceae. The record is from RNAcentral.
UUGUCCUGUGACUGCGUACCUUUUGUAUAAUGGGUCAGCGACUUAUAUUCAGUGGCAAGGUUAACCAUCUAGGGGAGCCGUAGGGAAACCGAGUCUUAACUGGGCGUUCAGUCUCUGGAUAUAGACCCGAAACCAGGUGAUCUAGCCAUGGGCAGGUUGAAGGUUGAGUAACAUCAACUGGAGGACCGAACCGACUAAUGUUGAAAAAUUAGCGGAUGACUUGUGGCUAGGGGUGAAAGGCCAAUCAAACCUGGAGAUAGCUGGUUCUCCCCGAAAGCUAUUUAGGUAGCGCCUCGGACGAAUACUACUGGGGGUAGAGCACUGUUAAGGCUAGGGGGUCAUCCCGACUUACCAACCCUUUGCAAACUCCGAAUACCAGUAAGUACUAUCCGGGAGACACACGGCGGGUGCUAACGUCCGUCGUGGAGAGGGAAACAACCCAGACCGCCAGCUAAGGUCCCAAAUUACUACUAAGUGGGAAACGAUGUGGGAAGGCUCAGACAGCCAGGAUGUUGGCUUAGAAGCAGCCAUCAUUUAAAGAAAGCGUAAUAGCUCACUGGUCGAGUCGGCCUGCGCGGAAGAUGUAACGGGGCUAAGUAGUAAACCGAAGCUGCGGCAAUGCACUUUAGUGCAUUGGGUAGGGGAGCGUUCUGUAAGCGGUUGAAGGUGUGUGGUAACGCAUGCUGGACGUAUCAGAAGUGCGAAUGCUGACAUGAGUAACGAUAAAGGGGGUGAAAAACCUCCUCGCCGGAAGACCAAGGGUUCCUGUCCAACGUUAAUCGGGGCAGGGUAAGUCGACCCCUAAGGCGAGGCCGAAAGGCGUAGUCGAUGGGAAACGGGUUAAUAUUCCCGUACUUCUUACAAUUGCGAUGGGGGGACGGAGAAGGCUAGGUG